This 424-nucleotide ribosomal RNA is filed under the name uncultured bacterium. RNAcentral describes it as "bacterial SSU rRNA". It matches the Rfam family "Bacterial small subunit ribosomal RNA", at positions 355 to 776 of the family's 1533-position model. The record is from RNAcentral.
UGAGGAAUAUUGGUCAAUGGCCGUAAGGCUGAACCAGCCAAGUAGCGUGAAGGAUGACCGCCCUAUGGGUUGUAAACUUCUUUUAUAAAGGAAUAAAGUCGCCUACGUGUAGGUGUUUGUAUGUACUUUAUGAAUAAGCAUCGGCUAACUCCGUGCCAGCAGCCGCGGUAAUACGGAGGAUGCGAGCGUUAUCCGGAUUUAUUGGGUUUAAAGGGAGCGCAGACGGGCUGUUAAGUCAGCUGUGAAAUGCCGCGGCUCAACCGUGGACCUGCAGUUGAUACUGGCGGCCUUGAGUGCGGUUGAGGCAGGCGGAAUUCGUGGUGUAGCGGUGAAAUGCUUAGAUAUCACGAAGAACCCCGAUUGCGAAGGCAGCCUGCCAAUCCGUUACUGACGUUCAUGCUCGAAGGUGCGGGUAUCAAACAGG